This 518-nucleotide ribosomal RNA is filed under the name uncultured microorganism. RNAcentral's name for it is "bacterial SSU rRNA". It matches the Rfam family "Bacterial small subunit ribosomal RNA", at positions 9 to 508 of the family's 1533-position model. The record is from RNAcentral.
GAGUUUGAUCGUGGCUCAGGAUGAACGCUGGCGGCGUGCCUAAUACAUGCAAGUCGAGCGAACGGACGAGAAGCUUGCUUCUCUGAUGUUAGCGGCGGACGGGUGAGUAACACGUGGAUAACCUACCUAUAAGACUGGGAUAACUUCGGGAAACCGGAGCUAAUACCGGAUAAUAUUUUGAACCGCAUGGUUCAAAAGUGAAAGACGGUCUUGCUGUCACUUAUAGAUGGAUCCGCGCUGCAUUAGCUAGUUGGUAAGGUAACGGCUUACCAAGGCAACGAUGCAUAGCCGACCUGAGAGGGUGAUCGGCCACACUGGAACUGAGACACGGUCCAGACUCCUACGGGAGGCAGCAGUAGGGAAUCUUCCGCAAUGGGCGAAAGCCUGACGGAGCAACGCCGCGUGAGUGAUGAAGGUCUUCGGAUCGUAAAACUCUGUUAUUAGGGAAGAACAUAUGUGUAAGUAACUGUGCACAUCUUGACGGUACCGUAAUCAGAAAGCCACGGCUAACUACGUCG